AAAAAAGCGUUGAUGAGAAACAGUAGAUAGUAUUUGUCGCUUCAGAGAGCGGGCGGUCGGUGAAAGCCCUGCGGCGUUAUUAUCGAACCCGUCUUUGAGCUCCGCGCAGAACGCGGCGGGCGUCCCGUUACAGACAAAUGAGAGCGGAUUUUCCGAAUACAGGUGGUACCGCAGGCUAUUUUGUUAGUUUGUCCUGAAU
Molecule: non-coding RNA, 199 nt
Filed under: Eubacterium sp.
Lineage: Bacteria; Bacillati; Bacillota; Clostridia; Eubacteriales; Eubacteriaceae
Description: T-box sequence
Rfam family: T-box leader
About the family: Uncharged tRNA acts as the effector for transcription antitermination of genes in the T-box leader family.
Source: RNAcentral